CUGUUUCUCCUUUAUUCUUAAAUAAUAUCUUUCUGAGGCAUAAAAUUAGGUUGGCCGUCAUUUUUGUUCUGUACAUUAAUAUUAUCGUUCCACUGUCCUAGAGCUUACAUUGUUGCUGUUGAGAAGUAAGCUUUUAGUAAACAAACCUUCGAGUAAGGAAGAACAAACAGAAUUUUUUCGUUGUUGUUAUGUUUUGUUUUGUUUUUUUGAGAUGAUUACAUGAUAUUAGAUACAGAAAACCCUAAGACUCUACCAAAAAUCUGUUAGUACAGAAUUCUCAUAUAUCCACAUGCAGAAGAAUGAAAUUGGACACUCAUUUCAUUUCAUAUACAAAAAUCAACUCAAAAUGAUGAAUCAAAGGUCUAACACUUAAUAUAAAACUGUAUAGCUACUGGAAGAAGGCUUAGAGAAAAAUGACUUUAUAUUAGUCUAAGCACUAAUUUGGGAGGUAUGACUCCAAAAGUACAGGCAACAAAAGCAAAAAUAGAUAUAUGGGAUUGCCUCAAACUAAAAAGCA
This 517-nucleotide long non-coding RNA is filed under the name Homo sapiens (human). RNAcentral describes it as "non-protein coding lnc-IGSF10-5:1". The record is from RNAcentral. Lineage: Eukaryota; Metazoa; Chordata; Mammalia; Primates; Hominidae.